RNAcentral lists this ribosomal RNA (1464 nucleotides) under Klebsiella variicola. RNAcentral's name for it is "bacterial SSU rRNA". It matches the Rfam family "Bacterial small subunit ribosomal RNA". Lineage: Bacteria; Pseudomonadati; Pseudomonadota; Gammaproteobacteria; Enterobacterales; Enterobacteriaceae. The record is from RNAcentral.
GAUUGAACGCUGGCGGCAGGCCUAACACAUGCAAGUCGAGCGGUAGCACAGAGAGCUUGCUCUCGGGUGACGAGCGGCGGACGGGUGAGUAAUGUCUGGGAAACUGCCUGAUGGAGGGGGAUAACUACUGGAAACGGUAGCUAAUACCGCAUAACGUCGCAAGACCAAAGUGGGGGACCUUCGGGCCUCAUGCCAUCAGAUGUGCCCAGAUGGGAUUAGCUAGUAGGUGGGGUAACGGCUCACCUAGGCGACGAUCCCUAGCUGGUCUGAGAGGAUGACCAGCCACACUGGAACUGAGACACGGUCCAGACUCCUACGGGAGGCAGCAGUGGGGAAUAUUGCACAAUGGGCGCAAGCCUGAUGCAGCCAUGCCGCGUGUGUGAAGAAGGCCUUCGGGUUGUAAAGCACUUUCAGCGGGGAGGAAGGCGUUAAGGUUAAUAACCUUGGCGAUUGACGUUACCCGCAGAAGAAGCACCGGCUAACUCCGUGCCAGCAGCCGCGGUAAUACGGAGGGUGCAAGCGUUAAUCGGAAUUACUGGGCGUAAAGCGCACGCAGGCGGUCUGUCAAGUCGGAUGUGAAAUCCCCGGGCUCAACCUGGGAACUGCAUUCGAAACUGGCAGGCUAGAGUCUUGUAGAGGGGGGUAGAAUUCCAGGUGUAGCGGUGAAAUGCGUAGAGAUCUGGAGGAAUACCGGUGGCGAAGGCGGCCCCCUGGACAAAGACUGACGCUCAGGUGCGAAAGCGUGGGGAGCAAACAGGAUUAGAUACCCUGGUAGUCCACGCCGUAAACGAUGUCGAUUUGGAGGUUGUGCCCUUGAGGCGUGGCUUCCGGAGCUAACGCGUUAAAUCGACCGCCUGGGGAGUACGGCCGCAAGGUUAAAACUCAAAUGAAUUGACGGGGGCCCGCACAAGCGGUGGAGCAUGUGGUUUAAUUCGAUGCAACGCGAAGAACCUUACCUGGUCUUGACAUCCACAGAACUUUCCAGAGAUGGAUUGGUGCCUUCGGGAACUGUGAGACAGGUGCUGCAUGGCUGUCGUCAGCUCGUGUUGUGAAAUGUUGGGUUAAGUCCCGCAACGAGCGCAACCCUUAUCCUUUGUUGCCAGCGGUUAGGCCGGGAACUCAAAGGAGACUGCCAGUGAUAAACUGGAGGAAGGUGGGGAUGACGUCAAGUCAUCAUGGCCCUUACGACCAGGGCUACACACGUGCUACAAUGGCAUAUACAAAGAGAAGCGACCUCGCGAGAGCAAGCGGACCUCAUAAAGUAUGUCGUAGUCCGGAUUGGAGUCUGCAACUCGACUCCAUGAAGUCGGAAUCGCUAGUAAUCGUAGAUCAGAAUGCUACGGUGAAUACGUUCCCGGGCCUUGUACACACCGCCCGUCACACCAUGGGAGUGGGUUGCAAAAGAAGUAGGUAGCUUAACCUUCGGGAGGGCGCUUACCACUUUGUGAUUCAUGACUGGGGUGA